RNAcentral lists this long non-coding RNA (6015 nucleotides) under Homo sapiens (human). Its description in RNAcentral is "HSALNT0160228". The record is from RNAcentral. Lineage: Eukaryota; Metazoa; Chordata; Mammalia; Primates; Hominidae.
CCUUCCUUCCUUCCCUUCCUCCCUCCCUCCUUCCCUUCUUUCUCUCUCUCUCUCUCUUUCUUUCUUGAGACGGAGUCUUGCUCUGUCGCCCAGGCUGGAGUGCAGUGACGUGUUCUUGGCUCACUGCAAGCUCCGCCUCCCGUGUUCACGGCAUUCUCCUGCUUCAGCCUCUGGAGUAGCCGUGACUACAGGCACCCGCCACCGCGCCCGGCCUUAACUAGGAUUUUCUAGACUAUGUUCCAGGAGAAGUAGAAUUACUGCAUCACAGGGCACUUCAUUUUUAGAUUACGUAUCAUGGCGGCAGACCUUCAAUACCAAGGUGAGAUGGAAUAUGUAGUCCAUUCAAGUAAUGGGAACUUCAGAUGAGAGUCAUGUAACUGGGGUCCGCAGUCCUCUCAGAAUUUCUGUUGUACCAUUCAGGACAGCAUCUCCCCUCCCUGACCAGUUGAUAAAUCAUCUUGCAAAAGGCUCAUCUCAAAUGAAGAUGUAAUUCCUGGAAUUUUUUAAAAUAUGUCGUUUUUAUAAGAUUUUUAAUAGGAAAAAAUAUAUGGUUAUUGUCAAAAAUACAAAUUUAUAAAGGUUUUUAAUUGCAUGAGACCUUUCCUGUUUGCUCUCAGGCAGCAUCAGCAUUAAGCAGUUCUACUGCGUCAGACCUUAAUUCUGUGCCUUAAAAGCAGCAACUGUUUUGUUUUGUUUCCUCCUCUCCACUUAGGCUGCAGGGCCCAAUUCAGAUGAAUUAACUACAUUGGCUUUAUAAAAUGCUUACUGAACUGAAAAUGAUGAAAGAAAAAACAAAUUAGUGAUGAAAGAAAAGAAAAAUAAAACAUAACAUUCAUGAAAAUGCUCACAAAAGGUUUUUUCUGCACCAAAAGUUAAUAAAUGCUGUACAUUGUUUAUAAAUAAUUAAAAUGGACUGAUAGUGAUAACGUGUUCUCUUUUGACCCUUCCAGCAAACUUCUUAAAGGUUUUCAAAUAUAGUGGUGAUUUCAUAUGGCCUGUGUUGACUUCAUUUAUAGUUGUUGUUUGUAAUUUAUUAAUUUGCUGUUUCCAGAUGUGCUCUCUCCCGCCCCUUGUUUAAGCUGUUAACCCUAGGUAUGUGCUGAGGAACUGGAUGGCAGAAUCUGCAGUGCAGAAAGCAGAAAGGAAUGAUUUCUCAGACCUAAGAUGGUUGACUUCUCUCAGUUCAUUUUUAUUAAUUAAAAAUCUAUUAUAUUUUGAAGACGCUUGUUUGCAGACAUGCUAAAUUAUACCAUUGCCGUGCAUCUUCUCCAGCAAGUUCUUCAGCAUCCUUUCCAGAAGCAUUCGGCAGCCGAGAAAGCAGGCUACACCUUACCUACUCCUUCCUGGGCUAAAGAUCUCAGACUUAGUUGCUUAUCUUAAUUUGGGGAAAAUAAAUUAAGGAGUUCUUCUAUCAUUAAGCACAACAUAAUAUAAUCUAUUUAAUAAAUUCUGAUCAUCCACAUUUUGAUGGCAAUCCCACAUUUGAAAAUAAUGAUUAUAUAUGCAAAUAUUUUUAGCCAGUUAAAUUGGAACUUAUUCUUUGAAACAUCAUGAUCAUUUUUGUUCUAAUCAGUAACUAUAAUGGAACAAUAAGGUGUUUUUGAUAAACCACAUGAGUUAUUUUCAUUGAUUAUCUUAUGACAGUUGUUAUCAAAAUGGAUUAUUACAUAUUUAUCUAGUAUUUGCUGUAAACUCAGCAGUUUGGAAUACAUCAGUAAGUAUUUAGUUUUAUUAUGCUACUAGAGUUUUUUUCCGUAUUAUAGAAUUUUCAAACAUUUACUAAGGUAGAUAAAAUUUUAAUAGUUUAAUGAACCUGGUUUACCAUUUAAUCAGCUUAUUAGUAAUCAAUACAUGGCCAAUUUCACUUCAUUUACACCUCCACACACUUCCCUCAUAUUCCUUGUUAUUGCCUUAAUUGAGAUAUAAUUUACAUGUCCUCAAUUAUGUUUUGGAAAAUGGAGACAUUGUUUCCUCUACAAAUAUUUCUGUAUGCCUCUCUAAAUAUUAAUGACUUAAAACACAAACAGACCCUGACACCAUAUGACCUUAGGACAAAUUAGCAAUAACUUCCUAAUGUAUAAAAUUAAAUAUCCAGUCAGUUUUCAAGGUUUCCCUAUUGUCUUGUAAAUUAUUAUCAUCUUCUUUAUUUUAUAGUUAUUUUAAUUGGGAUCCAAAUAAGGACUAUACAUUAAAAUUAGAUGAAAAUAUGUCUUGUUUCCUUUGAUAUCUUUGAGUAUAUCACCUACGUGUGUCACCUACAUCUUUUUUCACUUGCACUCUUUUGGUUUAUUUUGUUUUGAUUGAAGAAACCAGAUUAUUUAUCCUGUAGUAUUUUGACACUCUGCAUUUUUCGGAUUGCAUUUCGUGGUAUUUAUUAAACCUGUGAUAUAAUUUGAAUGUAUGCUCCAAAUCUCAUUGAUAUGGUUUGGCUCUAUGUCCCCACCCAAAUCUCAUCUUGAAUUUCGACCCCCAUGUGUGGAUGGAGGGACUUGGUGGGAGGUGAUUGGAUCAUGGGGGCCAUUCCCCCAUGCUGUUCUUGUGAUAGAGAGUUCUCAAAAGAUCUGGUUGUUUGAUAAGGGUCUGGCAUUUCCCCUUUGCUCUGUCUCUCCUCCUGCCAUGUAAGAUGUGCCUUGCUUCUCCUUCACCCUCUGUUAUGAUUCUAAGUUUCCUGAGGCCUCUCCAGCCAUGCAUAACUGUGAGUCAAUUAAACCUUCCUUUCUAAAUUACCUAGUCUCAGGUAGUUUCUUUACAGCAAUGUGAAAUUGGACUAACGUACUCAUGUUGAGAUGUAAUCCCCAAUGUUGGAGGUGGGGCCUGGUGGGAGGUGUUUGGGUCAUGGGGACAGAUUCAUCAUAACUUGAUGCUGUCCUCCUGAUAGACUGGGUUCUUAGGAGAUCUGUUGUUUGAAAGUGUGUGGCACCUCCCCUCACUUGCUCUCUUGCUCCCACCCUCUCCAUGUGAGAAGCCUGCUCCUGCUAUGCCUUCUGCCAUGUCUGGAAGCCUCCUGAGGCCUCCUCAAAAGCUGAGCAGAUGCCAGCACCACGUUCCCUGUAAAGCCUGCAGAACUCAGCCAAUUAAACCUCUUUUCUUUAUGAAUUACCCAGCCUCCCAUAUUUUUUUAUAGGAACAGAAAAACAGCCUAGCACAACACGUUUCUCUGCCCCCUGUAUUUCUGUAACUAUAGAGCUUCAGUCAGUUUCAGAAAGGAUUUAUUUGGCAAAAAUACUUGAAAUACAGAGCAAACAUCUGCCUUGGUGAAUUGCCACUAUUUCUUCUGUAACUACAUUUAUGUUCUAUUUGAAUUUCACUGUUAUCACUUUUUUUUCUGUUGCAGUUUUAGCCCUGUUGAUUAAUUUCCACUUUUGAUUAUUCCUUUUUGUAAAAUGUCACGUGGGCUUCUCGCUGGGAGACAAGGAGGCAAGACAAUAACAUGCUUUGCUCUCUGUAUGAACUCAGUAACAAAUAUGCAGUGAUUGGCAACAACAUACUUUGAAAGAAGUGAUGGGUCACUGAUCAUGAUUCAUCUGUUAUUUAGGCUGUGAUUUGUGGACUGAAGAACUAACAAGAAGUUUAUACUUUAUAUAAUUACAGGUAAAAUACCAUGAUAACUGAAAUUAGAACCAUGUUGGGGAACUCGUGUCAUUUAAUUCAAUCAUGCUUAUUGGAACUAGGUAGAGGGGCGAUGGCCUGUACCUCUUACCUUCCUGAUGUUUUCUUUUUUAUCUGCAAUAAACAUUUACAUCAUUCCUUGUAUAGACUGUGAAAUUGUCUAUCAAUUCUAGACAUGUAGUCUAGAAUCACUUUUUAUACUACAUUUUAUAAUUGAGCAUCACUGGUAUAUAGUAUAUAGGACAGUUUUUGGUUUCUAUAAUUAAAGGUUGACUUUAUUAAAGUAUUAAGUAGAUACACCAUCUGAGAAUUUAAAAGUCUGUCUUUUUCAUUCAAAUAGUUGUUCAUCCUAUUUUUUUUGUUGUUAUAUGUAUUGGCUAGAGACUUCAGGAUAAUGUCGAAUAAUAUUAAUGAUAAUAUUGACUUUAAUGGUGUAUUAGUCAUGUCUCUUAUUUUCUGAAUUCGAUGCUUUGACAUCCAGGGCUUUGUUGUCCAUGGAGGGACUGCCCCUCUCAGGAUAAGCUAAUUCCUGGACGUAAGCAACUUGCCUGCAUGUAUGUCUUCAUAUAUAAACCAACCAAUCCAGAGCUCAUACCCCGUUCUUUAUCCUUUCUUUAUCACCCUCUAUUCUUCUUUAUCUAUCUUUAUCCUUCUUUAUCACUCUCAUGUCCCAGGCCACUAUCCGCCUGCCCUAAUUGCCUCAGGGCCAGGUAGCAGACAACUAGGGACAGCCUCUCCUCCCCAAGAUACCACGAAAUUAUUCAAACUAGCCAAUCCUAAGACUGGUUGCCCUGCCUUGCUUGUUCCUUCCUGUGGAAAGUACAGUAAAGAGUCUUGCUCGUGCUUUCCCCCGUCCCCUCUACCUCCUGACUGACCUUGAUGUUUCCCUGUUUUGCCUCUUGUGGUGUGAGGUGCCUACAGCUCCUAGGGAACCCUGAGUAGCAAAAUAAAGUACUUCCCUCAUGACACUCAUUUCUGUGUUCAUGUGUCUUAUCAUACUGAUUAAAACAAAUCCUGGGUACCAUAAAAAUAAAUGACAUUUCUAUUCAUGCUUUGUUAUUAAAUAUGCCUUUUGCUGUAGGUUUCUAAUAACUUUUAUCAAUAUAGAAACAUCUUCCUCAAUUGCUAGUUUCUUAUGAAGUUUUAAAUUUUUUUUAACAAGGAGUGGUGUUGAAUUUUAUCAAGAGCCUUUUUGAUGUUUAUUGAAAUAGUUGUUUUUUCUCCUAUGAAUUUUUCUAAUAGAAACUAUACUGAUUGAACAAUAGGUUAAAAUUAAAGUUUCAUCAGACUCUCAAGAUAUAAUAGCUGUGAAAGUCUAAAUCACCAUAUGUAGGUUUUCAUAGCAAAUAUCUGAGAACCUGCUCCACAAGUAUUAAUUCUCCUCACCUGCUUUAACAAUAUGAAAGGAUGUGGAGUGGAGAACACUGCAGGGAGCUGUUGCCUUGCACUUUCCCCUACCUUACCUUUGAUAGUCUUAUGUAUGGGGAGGAAAAUAAUGCACAUCCUUAACCCUGGGUCUAGAGGAGGACUCUUCAGGAGGCCACCAGGAUAACUGACCAAAAAACUCCUGGAACUAAUAAGCAGUUAUAGCAAGGAUGCCGUAUACAGGAUUAGUAUAGAAAAAUCCAUUGCAGUUGCUCUCCUGCACACAAACAGUGAGCAAUUGGAAUUUGAAAUUAAAAACACAAUGCCAUUUAUGUAAACAUUCCCACCACCAGUGAAAUAAUUAGGUAUAAAUCUAACAAAAUAUAUAAAAGAUCUAUGAGGAAAACUACAAAAUUUUGAUUAAAGAAAUCAAAGAAGGACUAAAUAAAUAGAGAGAUAUUCCAUGUCCAUGGAUAGGGAGGCCUAGCAUUAACAAAAUGUCAGUUCUUCCCAACUUUCUCUCUAGAUUCAAUGCAAUCCCCAUCAAAAUCCCAGAAAUAUAUCACUUGGAUAUUGACAAAUUGAUUCCAAAGUUUCUAUGGAGAGGCUAAAACAAAAACAAAAACCAAAAAAAAACAAAAACAAAAACAAAAAAAACAAGAACAGAUAACGCAGUAUUAGAAAAGAAGAAAAUCAGGGGGGUAACACUACCCAAUUUCAAGAUUUGCAAGAAAGCUACAGCAAUGAAGACAGUGUGGUAGUGGCAAAAGAAUAGAUGAAUAGACCAAUGGAACAGAAUAGAAAAUCCCAAAAUAGACCUAUACAAAUAUUUGACAAAGGGGCAAAGGCAAUACAAUGAGGAAAAGAUAGUCUUUUCAACAAAUGGCACUGGAACAACUUAAUAUCCAUAAGCAAAAUCAAAAAUCUAGACACAGAUCUUACAUCUUCCCCCAAAUUUAGCUGAAAAUGGAUCAUAGACCUAAAUGUAACACACAAAAUUAUAAAAUUUCUAGAAUAUAGGAGAAAAGCUAGAUAACCUUG